Non-coding RNA from Hydra vulgaris (swiftwater hydra), 132 nucleotides. The record is from RefSeq and is a predicted model, not a curated record. NCBI's taxonomy places the organism in Eukaryota, Metazoa, Cnidaria, Hydrozoa, Anthoathecata, Hydridae.
UUUAGAGUAUUUUCGAAAAGUUUUAUGGCCUCCAUGGAUAUGAAGGGCAAAGCUUCUUCUAUUGUAUUCAUUGAACCAAAAGAACCCUCGGUUAAUGGAACAUUGUUUGACUUUCUAAAUUACGCUUUAUUU